This 301-nucleotide ribosomal RNA is filed under the name uncultured bacterium. RNAcentral describes it as "partial 16S ribosomal RNA". It matches the Rfam family "Bacterial small subunit ribosomal RNA", at positions 509 to 807 of the family's 1533-position model. The record is from RNAcentral.
CAGUCGCCGCGGUAAUACGUAGGUGGCAAGCGUUGUCCGGAAUUAUUGGGCGUAAAGGGCUCGCAGGCGGUUUCUUAAGUCUGAUGUGAAAGCCCCCGGCUCAACCGGGGAGGGUCAUUGGAAACUGGGAAACUUGAGUGCAGAAGAGGAGAGUGGAAUUCCACGUGUAGCGGUGAAGUGCGUGGAGAUGUGGAGGAACACCAGUGGCGAAGGCGACUCUCUGGUCUGUAACUGACGCUGAGGAGCGAAAGCGUGGGGAGCGAACAGGAUUAGAUACCCCCGUAGUCCCUGUCUCUUAUAC